UUGAGUUUGAUCAUGGCUCAGGACGAACGCUGGCGGUGCGCUUAAUGCCUGCAAGUCGAACGGUCUUGGCGACUUCGGUUGUCAGGAUACUGGCAGACGGCUGAGUAACACGUAAGUAACCUACCCCAAAGAGGGGGAUAAGCACAAGAAAUUGUGUCUAAUACCCCGUACGCUCCAGUGUUUAUUGGUGCUGGAGGAAAUGUGCCGAAAGGUAUGCUUAGGGAGGGGCUUGCGGCCUAUCAGGUAGUUGGUGGGGUAAUAGCCUACCAAGCCGAAGACGGGUACCCGGUGUGAGAGCAUGAACGGGCAGAGGGGGACUGAGACACGGCCCCCACUCCUACGGGAGGCAGCAGCAGGGAAUCUUGCGCAAUGGGCUUAUUGGCCUGACGUUUUUUUUCCGCGUGGAGGAAGAAGGUUUUCGGAUUGUAAACUCCUUUUCUUGGGGAAGAGUGAGGACGGUACCCAAGGAAUAAGCAUCGGCUAACUACGUGCCAGCAGCCGCGGUAA
RNAcentral lists this ribosomal RNA (507 nucleotides) under uncultured Chloroflexota bacterium. Its description in RNAcentral is "bacterial SSU rRNA". It matches the Rfam family "Bacterial small subunit ribosomal RNA", at positions 1 to 523 of the family's 1533-position model. Lineage: Bacteria; Bacillati; Chloroflexota. The record is from RNAcentral.